GACGAACGCUGGCGGCGUGCUUAACACAUGCAAGUCGAACGGAAAGGCCCCUUCGGGGGUACUCGAGUGGCGAACAGGUGAGUAACACGUGAGUAACCUGCCCUUGACUUCGGGAUAACUUCAGGAAACUGGGGCUAAUACCGGAUAGGAAUCCUUGCUGCAUGGUGGGGGUUGGAAAGCUUCGGCGGUUUUGGAUGGACUCGCGGCUUAUCAGCUUGUUGGUGGGGUAGUGGCUUACCAAGGCUUUGACGGGUAGCCGGCCUGAGAGGGCGACCGGCCACAUUGGGACUGAGAUACGGCCCAGACUCCUACGGGAGGCAGCAGUGGGGAAUAUUGCACAAUGGGCGGAAGCCUGAUGCAGAAACGCCGCGUGCGGGAUGACGGCCUUCGGGUUGUAAACCGCUUUCAGCAGGGGCGAAGCUUGUGGUGACGGUACCUGCAGAAGAAGCACCGGCUAACUACGUG
This 465-nucleotide ribosomal RNA is filed under the name uncultured bacterium. RNAcentral describes it as "partial 16S ribosomal RNA". It matches the Rfam family "Bacterial small subunit ribosomal RNA", at positions 28 to 507 of the family's 1533-position model. The record is from RNAcentral.